UUAAGCUAGAAAGGGCGCACGGUGGAUGCCUUGGCACUAGGAGCCGAUGAAGGACGGGGCAAACGCCGAAACGCUCCGGGGAGCUGUAAGCAAGCGUCGAUCCGGAGAUGUCCGAAUGGGGGAACCCACUGUCCGUAAUGGGGCAGUAUCCAUGCCUGAAUCCAUAGGGCAUGGAGGGCACACCCGGGGAACUGAAACAUCUUAGUACCCGGAGGAGAAGAAAGCAAACGCGAUUCCCUGAGUAGCGGCGAGCGAAACGGGAACAGCCCAAACCAAGAGGCGUGCCUCUUGGGGUUGUAGGACCGCUCAUUGUGGGAGUGAGAAAGGAACGGGGUAGACGAACCGGUCUGGAACGGCCGGCCAGAGAAGGUGACAGCCCUGUAGUCGAAACUUCGUUCCCUCCCGAGCGGAUCCUGAGUACGGCGGGACACGAGGAAUCCCGUCGGAAGCAGGGAGGACCAUCUCCCAAGGCUAAAUACUCCCUAGUGACCGAUAGUGAACCAGUACCGUGAGGGAAAGGUGAAAAGCACCCCGGAAGGGGAGUGAAAGAGAACCUGAAACCGUGUGCCUACAAGUAGUCAGAGCCCGUUUAUGGGUGAUGGCGUGCCUUUUGUAGAAUGAACCGGCGAGUUACGAUGACGUGCGAGGUUAAGUCGAAGAGACGGAGCCGCAGCGAAAGCGAGUCUGAAUAGGGCGCUUAGUACGUCGUCGUAGACCCGAAACCAGGUGAUCUACCCAUGCCCAGGGUGAAGGUAGGGUAACGCCUACUGGAGGCCCGAACCCACGCACGUUGAAAAGUGCGGGGAUGAGGUGUGGGUAGGGGUGAAAUGCCAAUCGAACCUGGAGAUAGCUGGUUCUCCCCGAAAUAGCUUUAGGGCUAGCCUCAAGGGAAGAGUCUUGGAGGUAGAGCACUGAUUGAGCUAGGGGCCCUCAUCGGGUUACCGAACUCAGUCAAACUCCGAAUGCCAAUGACUUAUCCUUGGGAGUCAGACUACGAGUGAUAAGAUCCGUAGUCGAGAGGGAAACAGCCCAGACCACCAGCUAAGGUCCCUAAGUGUACGUUAAGUGGAAAAGGAUGUGGAGUUGCUUAGACAACCAGGAUGUUGGCUUAGAAGCAGCCAUCAUUUAAAGAGUGCGUAAUAGCUCACUGGUCGAGUGACUCUGCGCCGAAAAUGUACCGGGGCUAAACGUACCACCGAAGCUGUGGGAUGACCGCUGGUCAUCGGUAGGGGAGCGUUCUAAGCGCGCCGAAGCGAGACCGGAAGGACUCGUGGAGCGCUUAGAAGUGAGAAUGCCGGUGUGAGUAGCGAAAACAGAGGUGAGAAUCCUCUGCACCGAAAGCCUAAGGGUUCCUGAGGAAGGUUCGUCCGCUCAGGGUUAGUCGGGACCUAAGCCGAGGCCGAAAGGCGUAGGUGAUGGGCAACAGGUUGAGAUUCCUGUACCACCUCCUCACCGUUUGAGCAAUGGGGGGACGCAGGAAGGUAGGGCGAGCAGGCUGCUGGAAUAGCCUGUCCAAGCGGUUAGGCUGCCAGAUAGGCAAAUCCGUCUGGCAUAAAGGCUGAGCCGUGAUGGCGAAGGGACCAUCGGUCCCGAAGUCCCCGAUCCUACACUGCCAAGAAAAGCCUCUAGCGAGGUGAGAGGUGCCCGUACCGCAAACCGACACAGGUAGGCGAGGAGAGAAUCCUAAGGUGCGCGGGAGAACUCUCGUUAAGGAACUCGGCAAAAUGACCCCGUAACUUCGGGAGAAGGGGUGCUCUCUUGGGUGAUGAGCCCGAGAGAGCCGCAGUGAAAAGGCCCAAGCGACUGUUUAUCAAAAACACAGGUCUCUGCGAAGCCGAAAGGCGAAGUAUAGGGGCUGACACCUGCCCGGUGCUGGAAGGUUAAGGGGAGCGCUUAAGCCGCAAGGCUGAAGGUGCGAACCGAAGCCCCAGUAAACGGCGGCCGUAACUAUAACGGUCCUAAGGUAGCGAAAUUCCUUGUCGGGUAAGUUCCGACCCGCACGAAAGGUGUAACGACUUGGGCACUGUCUCAACC
Molecule: ribosomal RNA, 2034 nt
Filed under: Geobacillus stearothermophilus
Lineage: Bacteria; Bacillati; Bacillota; Bacilli; Caryophanales; Anoxybacillaceae
Description: bacterial LSU rRNA
Rfam family: Bacterial large subunit ribosomal RNA
Source: RNAcentral